RNAcentral lists this long non-coding RNA (264 nucleotides) under Lathyrus oleraceus (garden pea). Its description in RNAcentral is "Pisum sativum (pea) long non-coding RNA (PSAT_LNC018300)". Lineage: Eukaryota; Viridiplantae; Streptophyta; Magnoliopsida; Fabales; Fabaceae. The record is from RNAcentral.
CAAACCAGUUUGAUAUAGUUGAUUUAUGCUUGGCCAUUAUUUCUUCAUAUAGUACAAAGAGCCACGUUUUAAGAAUUGAGUGUAAGGGGUAUGUGUUAAGAGUUUCAUAUCGAACAAUAUAUGACAUAAAUGCGCGUUUAUAAAUGAAAAUCAGUUUGAUAGAGUUGAAUUAGGUUCAACCACAUCUUUUAGCACCUUUUUAUCAUGUGAAAAUAAUGUGAUCAUUGUUGAAUUGAAUAAAGAUGAAUUAAUGUUUACCAAAAC